GACGUAGGGCGCGAGCGUUGUCCGGAUUUAUUGGGCGUAAAGAGCUCGUAGGCGGCUUGUCGCGUCAACUGUGAAAACCCGUGGCUCAACCAUGUGGUCUGCAGUCGAUACGGGCAGGCUAGAAUUCGGUAGGGGAGACUGGAAUUCCUGGUGUAGCGGUGAAAUGCGCAGAUAUCAGGAGGAACACCAGCGGCGAAGGCGGCGCUCUGGGCCGGAACUGACGCUGAGGAGCGAAAGCGUGGGUAGCAAACAGG
RNAcentral lists this ribosomal RNA (254 nucleotides) under uncultured bacterium. RNAcentral describes it as "partial 16S ribosomal RNA". It matches the Rfam family "Bacterial small subunit ribosomal RNA", at positions 524 to 776 of the family's 1533-position model. The record is from RNAcentral.